Molecule: long non-coding RNA, 354 nt
Organism: Amblyraja radiata (thorny skate)
Lineage: Eukaryota; Metazoa; Chordata; Chondrichthyes; Rajiformes; Rajidae
Exons: 3
Source: RefSeq, a predicted model, not a curated record
CAUGCUGGUGCUACAGGCCCAUUACCAAGCUCACUGAAAAAGGACAAGCAGGUUACCUGGAAAAAUGCCAGUAGGACAGAGACAAGCUGUGGAAGCAGAUUAUCAAGUCGAUUGAAUACCAGAGGGAACUAAUGGAAUCAGAAGAGAAUGCGAGGAAAGUACAAGCCAAUCUGGGACAAUCACUUGACCUCUGCCUUGAGGUUGGAGAAAAACAAAACUUAAUACUGAGUCUAUCUCUCUGCAAGAAUCGUAUAACUAUCUGGGGAAGAACGUGAAAAGCAAAUUCAGUGGUAUCGAGAGAGAAGAAAUGUUUUCCUCGGUUUUAUGGAAGAGGCGGAGAAGUGGUCGUCAGAA